UACGUAGGGGGCAAGCGUUGUCCGGAAUUAUUGGGCGUAAAGCGCGUGUAGGCGGCUUUGCAAGUUGGGUGUGAAAUCCCUCGGCUCAACCGAGGAAGUGCGCCCAAAACUGCAGAGCUUGAGUACCAGAGAGGAUGGCGGAAUUCCCCAAGUAGAGGUGAAAUUCGUAGAUAUGGGGAGGAACACCGGUGGCGAAGGCGGUUCUCUGGGCCUGACCUGACGCUGAGGAGCGAAAGCGUGGGGAGCGAACAGG
RNAcentral lists this ribosomal RNA (253 nucleotides) under uncultured bacterium. RNAcentral describes it as "partial 16S ribosomal RNA". It matches the Rfam family "Bacterial small subunit ribosomal RNA", at positions 524 to 776 of the family's 1533-position model. The record is from RNAcentral.